AGAGUUUGAUCCUGGCUCAGAAUCAACGCUGGCGGCGUGCUCAGACAUGCAAGUCGAACGAUUAAGACUUCCUUCGGGAAGUGUAUAAAGUGGCGCACGGGUGAGUAACACGUAAGUAAUCUACCUUUGAGUGGGGAAUAACAACCGGAAACGGUUGCUAAUACCGCAUAAUGCAGCGGCACCGCAAGGUGACAGUUGUUAAAGAUUUAUCGCUUAAAGAGGAGCUUGCGGCAGAUUAGCUAGUUGGUAAGGUAAUGGCUUACCAAGGCUACGAUCUGUAACCGGUCUAAGAGGACGGUCGGUCACACUGACACUGAAUAACGGGUCAGACUCCUACGGGAGGCAGCAGUCGGGAAUUUUGGGCAAUGGGCGAAAGCCUGACCCAGCAACGCCGCGUGAAGGAUGAAGUAUUUCGGUAUGUAAACUUCGAAAGAAUGGGAAGAAUAAAUGACGGUACCAUUUAUAAGGUCCGGCUAACUACGUGCCAGCAGCCGCGGUAAUACGUAGGGACCAAGCGUUGUUCGGAUUUACUGGGCGUAAAGGGCGCGUAGGCGGCAAUUCAAGUCAUCUGUGAAAUCUUCGGGCUUAACUCGAAACGGUCAGAUGAUACUGUCUUGCUAGAGUGCAGAAGGGGCAAUCGGAAUUCUUGGUGUAGCGGUGAAAUGCGUAGAUAUCAAGAGGAACACCUGAGGUGAAGACGGGUUGCUGGGCUGACACUGACGCUGAGGCGCGAAAGCCAGGGGAGCAAACGGGAUUAGAUACCCCGGUAGUCCUGGCCCUAAACGAUGAAUACUUGGUGUCUGGAGUUUUUAAUGCUCUGGGUGCCGUCGCUAACGUUUUAAGUAUUCCGCCUGGGGAGUACGCUCGCAAGAGUGAAACUCAAAUGAAUUGACGG
Molecule: ribosomal RNA, 895 nt
Filed under: uncultured bacterium
Lineage: Bacteria
Description: bacterial SSU rRNA
Rfam family: Bacterial small subunit ribosomal RNA
Source: RNAcentral